Molecule: long non-coding RNA, 934 nt
Filed under: Salmo salar (Atlantic salmon)
Lineage: Eukaryota; Metazoa; Chordata; Actinopteri; Salmoniformes; Salmonidae
Description: lncRNA (ENSSSAG00000089408.1)
Source: RNAcentral
CCAUCCCCGGUACCAUCCUCCAGUACCAUCCCUCCAGUACCAUCCCUCCAGUACCAUCCCCGGUACCAUCCUCCAGUACCAUACCCUGGUACCAUCCUCCGGUACCAUCCCCCGGUACCAUCCUCCAGUACCAUACCCUGGUACCAUCCUCCGGUACCAUCCUCCGGUACCAUCCUCCAGUACCAUCCCCGGUACCAUCCUCCAGUACCAUCCUCCAGUACCAUCCCUCCAGUACCAUCCCUCCAGUACCAUCCCUCCAUACCAUCCCUCCAGUACCAUCCCCGGUACCAUCCUCCAGUACCAUCCUCCAGCACCAUCCCUCGACAAGUGUUUUUUUCAAAUUCUAAUUUCUGGAAAAGGCUUAAAAGAAAGGUUAAAUUCAGGUCAUGUGACAUAAUUAAUUAAAACACAGGGCCCAAGGCAUGAUAGAUGGAAGAGGAAGUGAGACAUCCUACUCACUCUUUUUUCUUCUGGUUCUUAUAGCCUACAGUCAAUGAACUGAGCAGACCAGACCCAGCUGCUAAUGCAUUGGGGUGCCUAUGGGAGAGCACCCCAAAAAUGGAGAUCACAAUCGAGUGAUGAGUGGGACAUCUUCAUUUAUCCACCAUCUUUGAUGAUGGCUCAAACACUGGCCCUCAGGCUCGUGAGUUCUUUGUCUCCUUAAUACGGGUAUUUUCCAAGUAAAAACAAAAAACAGGUGUACUUCCAGAGAUGACCUCUAGGUGGCGAUGAUGUCCAGUAAUUCCAGCCAGACAGCCCUCUGUACUGUACUGUACCAGCAGGAACAAUAGACGCUAUAGAGGAGGAAAAACAUGUUUUGCUCAUAUGGUGUCUAGGAUUAUGACCAAUAUGGAGUAGAUUUAACACCAUGCAUGUUUGUUUGGUCUACUAAAUUAAUUUGGGAUGGAUGGAUGGAUGGAUGGAUGUAUAGAGA